Molecule: long non-coding RNA, 3361 nt
Filed under: Cricetulus griseus (Chinese hamster)
Lineage: Eukaryota; Metazoa; Chordata; Mammalia; Rodentia; Cricetidae
Description: lncRNA (ENSCGRG00015041390.1)
Source: RNAcentral
CUUGGAGUAUCUACCUCCAGAGAUGUGUUCAGAGUUGGAAAGUGUUUCCAGAACUCCCAGCACAUUCUGAAAUUCCUCUGGGAGACUGCAUUUCAAGGCCAAAUUAAAAGACACACAUACAAAUCUGGUCUUCAACUUAAAUAGUGUCUGAUAGUUUAUGGGCUCUCAUAUUGCCUUGUUUUUUUGUUCAUUUGUCAACAUGAAGAAUCAAACUCUGGAUCUGGGCAUUGGUGGCUCAUGCCUUUAAUCCCAGUACUCAUGAGGCAAAGGCAGGUGGAUCUCUGUGAGUUCAAGGCCAGCCUGGUCUACAGAGCAGGUUCCAGGACAGCCAUGGCUAUGCACAGAAAUCUGUCUUGAAAAAACAAAGAAGGAGGAGGAGGAAGAAGAGGAGGAGGAGGAGGAGGAGGAGGAGGAGAAGAAGAUGAAGAAGAAGAAGAAGAAGAAGAAGAAGAAGAAGAAGAAGAAGAAGAAGAAGAGGAAGAGGAAGAGGAAGAGGAAGAGGAAGAGGAAAAGAAGACAGGAACCAAACUCAAGGCCUCUUGCCUGGCUGCCCUUGAACUCACUGUGUAGCCACGGUUGGCUAUGAACUCCUGGUUUUUCUGACUUUGUCUCCCCAGUGCUGGGAUUACAAGAGCAUGCCUUCACACCUAGCCAAGAAAUUAAUUUAUAUAUCAAUAUGAAGAGGUCCUAAAAUUAUAAGUAGAAAAAUGAAGUUGCAGAACAUUCUAUAUAGUACAGUGACUUUUACUUCAGCUGUUUAAACAAUGCUUUGUAUCACUUAUAUCAUUCACAGCAUUUAUAUCACUAUACAGCCUGGAAAUGGGUGGGGCCAGAUGUGCUGUAGUCCCACCCCUUAGGAGAUGGAGACAGGAGAAUCGGGAGCUGAGGUCAACCAUGGAUGUAUGUGGAAUUCAAUGCCAGCCUGGGCUGCAAGAGGUCACAACCUCCAUUAAAGCAUGAGCCAGAAGGCUGCACAUGAAGAGAGAAACUCCAAUUGUAUUUUUCCCAGGCAUGGAGGACUGAGGAGUGUGGGGAGUGGGGGUGAGGAGUAUUACUGUGGAUGGAACGCAAGUCCUCCUGCAGGCUAUGCCCUAUUCCUGUUCCGCUGGACUUCCUAGUCAACCCCUCCCCCCCAGUUGUAUCUUUGUGCUUGAUUCCUUCCUCCUUUCCUCCCUCCCUCCCUCCCUCCUUCCUUCCUUUCUUGAUUCUUUCCUCCCCUUCUUCCUUCCAGUUUUGAAUUUCUUUGUAAAUUUCAUUUUUAUUUUUAUGUGUAUAGGUGUUUUGUCUGCAGGCUUAUCUGUGUACCAUGUGCAUGCCUGAUGCCUCUGGGGGCCAGAAGAAGGCACCAAAUCCCCUGAAACUGAAGUCACAAUGGCUGUGAGCCAACAUGCAGGUUUUGGGAAUUGAACUCAGAUACUCUGAAAGAGAAGUCAGUGCUCUUAACCACUUAGUCAUAUCUCCAGCCACAAUGUUUAAACACUCACAACUGUGUGUGUGUGUGUGUGUGUGUGUGUGUGUGUGUGUGUGUGUGUGUCCAGGUGUAGUGGCUCACUCCUGAAAUUCCAGUACACAGGAGACAGAGGCAGGAAAAUCACUACAAGUUUAAGGCCAUUCUGUAUAACAAUUUUAGUUCAUUCAAGGCUACAUACUGAGACCCUAUCUUAAUAAGUAAAUAAAUAAAUAAAUGUAGCACACACAACAAAAUAGGUAUUUUUUUAAAAAGUUCAUUCAAAUUGGUUUAUUAUAAAUCCUGCAUGUUUUCUGGAUGUUCAAAAUAUUUUAUAAAUAUUUUGAAUAAAAAUAUACUUUUGCUUCAGAAUACUACGCAGGUAGAAUUUCUAACAAUUAAAUUGAUUACAUUGACAUUAAAGUUAAAUUUAAAGUGCAGUUCUUGGUAGUUCUAGCCUCCUUUCUUGUGCUCGGUAGCUUCAUUCUCUCUCUCUCUCUCUCUCUCUCUCUCUCUCUCUCUCUCUCUCUCUCUUUAUCUCUCUCCCUUGAAGCAAAACCCAUAGAGGAACACUGUCUACUGGCUUUCUCAGACAAUUUUCUUUUUUGGGCUGGGGAUAGUUCAAGAUAGGGUUUCUCUGUAUAGCCCAGGCUGUCCAGGUAGACCAGGAUGGCCUCAAACUCACAGAGAUCUGCCUGCCUCUGCCUCCCAUGUGCUGGGAUUAAAGGCGUGGCCUUGUGUGUUUUUUUGGUUUUUUUGUUUUGUUUUGUUUGUUUUUUUCCUUUGGGACAGGAUAUCACUAUGUAGCUCCGGCUGUCCUAGAACUUGGUGUGGGAUAAUGCUCUCGUACACUGUAAAGAUUUGUCACUCAUAUUGAUUUAAAUAAAAAUGCUGAUUGGCCAGUAGUCAAGCAGGAAGUACAGGCAGGGUGACCAGAAGAGAAUUCUGGGAAAAGGAGAGGUAGAGACACAUUCGACAGCCAGAUGCAGAAGAAGCAACAUGAGAAUGCCUUACUGAGAAAAGGUACCAAGCUGUCAGGCUAAACAUAGAUAAAAAAAAAUAUGGGUUGGUUUAAGUUGUAAGGGCUUGUUAGUAAUAAGCCUGAGCAAUAGGCCAAACAUAUAUCGUUUUAUUCAAGACAGAGUUUCUCUGUGGCUUUGGAGGCUGUCCUGGAACUAGCUCUUAUAGACCAGGCUGGUCUUGAACUCACAGAGAUCCACCUGCCUCUGCCUUCCGAGUGCUGGGACUAAAGGUGUGCACCACCACCACCCAACUAAACAGUUUGUAAUUAAUAUAAGCUUCUGUGUGUCUAUUUGGAACUGAAUGACUGCAGGAUGGGGUGGAACAGAAACCUGUGUCUAUAAGAACUUCCUAUGUAGACUAGGCUGGCCUCAAACUCACAGAGAUCCACCUGUCUCUGCUUCCUGAGUACUGAGAUUAAGUGUGUACCACCAUACCUAGUUUUCUUACACAGCUAGCUCAACCCAGGGAUGCUACCACCCACAGUGAGCUGGUCCCUCCUACAUCAAUGGGCAAUGAAAAAUACCUUAUGGACAAGCCCACGGGCCAAUCUAUUGAAAGAAAUUCUUCAAUUUGGGGGCGGGUCCCUCUUUCCAGGUGUGUCAAGCUGACCACCAAGAUUAGGCAUCACACUUUGUUUUUCUGUUUCCUUCCUUUGUAUUUUUGGUUAGUUGGUUUGGGAGUUGGUGUUAGAGAUCAAACCCAAGACCUAAUGCUGAGCUUCACCAGUGAGCUGUACCCCAAACCCUUGUUUCUCAGGUUUUUCUUUAAUCCAGAAAGUGAGUAUUAGUGUUAGUAACAUGUAAAUGCAGACCAGAUAUUCAUCAAACAAGGAAUAUAGCUAUAAGAACCUUAAGUUGAGUUAAGGGAGAUUUUCCCAAAUUAUUGCAAAGG